AUCGCUUCUCGGCCUUUUGGCUAAGAUCAAGUGUAUUCCUUAUAAUAAAUAUGAAGAUUAAAUAGUUUUUUUUACUUAUGUUGAAGGUGGAGUGGAGUAAGUGAGCUUCAACAAAGUGGGUAUAUUUUUCCCAACAUCAAAC
This is a small nuclear RNA of 142 nucleotides. Its record names the gene U2. It matches the Rfam family "U2 spliceosomal RNA". From Rfam's summary of the family: U2 is a small nuclear RNA (snRNA) component of the spliceosome (involved in pre-mRNA splicing). Complementary binding between U2 snRNA (in an area lying towards the 5' end but 3' to hairpin I) and the branchpoint sequence (BPS) of the intron results the bulging out of an unpaired adenosine, on the BPS, which initiates a nucleophilic attack at the intronic 5' splice site, thus starting the first of two transesterification reactions that mediate splicing. The record is from Ensembl.